UGAGGGAAAGGCGAAAAGAACCCCGGCGAGGGGAGUGAAAAAGAACCUGAAACCGUGUACGUACAAGCAGUGGGAGCACAGGUUUACCUGUGUGACUGCGUACCUUUUGUAUAAUGGGUCAGCGACUUAUAUUCUGUAGCAAGGUUAACCGAAUAGGGGAGCCGGAGGGAAACCGAGUCUUAAUUGGGCGUUAAGUUGCAGGGUAUAGACCCGAAACCCGGUGAUCUAGCCAUGGGCAGGUUGAAGGUUGGGUAACACUAAC
RNAcentral lists this ribosomal RNA (262 nucleotides) under Salmonella enterica. RNAcentral describes it as "partial 23S ribosomal RNA". It matches the Rfam family "Bacterial large subunit ribosomal RNA", at positions 504 to 766 of the family's 2925-position model. Lineage: Bacteria; Pseudomonadati; Pseudomonadota; Gammaproteobacteria; Enterobacterales; Enterobacteriaceae. RNAcentral also lists the same sequence under 186 other names. The record is from RNAcentral.